CUAGAGAUAGAAAGUUACUUCGGUACAUCGGUGACAGGUGGUGCAUGGUUGUCGUCAGCUCGUGUCGUGAGAUGUUGGGUUAAGUCCCGCAACGAGCGCAACCCCUAUUGUUAGUUGCCAUCAUUCAGUUGGGCACUCUAGCGAGACUGCCGGUAAUAAACCGGAGGAAGUGGGAUGACGUCAAAUCAUCAUGCCCCUUAUGACCUGGGCUACACACGUGCUACAAUGGUUGGUACAACGAGUUGCGAGUCGGUGACGGCGAGCUAAUCUCUUAAAGCUAAUCUCAGUUCGGAUUGUAGGCUGCAACUCGCCUACAUGAAGUCGGAAUCGCUAGUAAUCGCGGAUCAGCACGCCGCGGUGAAUACGUUCCCGGGCCUU
RNAcentral lists this ribosomal RNA (378 nucleotides) under uncultured Streptococcus sp. RNAcentral describes it as "bacterial SSU rRNA". It matches the Rfam family "Bacterial small subunit ribosomal RNA", at positions 1000 to 1382 of the family's 1533-position model. The record is from RNAcentral. Lineage: Bacteria; Bacillati; Bacillota; Bacilli; Lactobacillales; Streptococcaceae.